This 559-nucleotide ribosomal RNA is filed under the name Providencia rettgeri. RNAcentral describes it as "partial 23S ribosomal RNA". It matches the Rfam family "Bacterial large subunit ribosomal RNA", at positions 1 to 587 of the family's 2925-position model. The record is from RNAcentral. Lineage: Bacteria; Pseudomonadati; Pseudomonadota; Gammaproteobacteria; Enterobacterales; Morganellaceae.
GGUUAAGCGACUAAGCGUACACGGUGGAUGCCUAGGCAAUCAGAGGCGAUGAAGGACGUGCUAAUCUGCGAUAAGCGUCGGUAAGGUGAUAUGAACCGUGAUAACCGACGAUUUCCGAAUGGGGAAACCCAGUGCAAUCCGUUGCACUAUCGUUUGAUGAAUACAUAGUCAAACGAAGCGAACCGGGGGAACUGAAACAUCUCAGUACCCCGAGGAAAAGAAAUCAACCGAGAUUCCCCUAGUAGCGGCGAGCGAACGGGGAGCAGCCCAGAGUCUUAAUCAGCAUUAGCAUCAGGAGAACGGUCUGGAAAGGCCGGCAGUAAAGGGUGAUAGCCCCGUAUCCGAAGGUGUUAGUGUUGUGAACUCGACGAGUAGGGCGGGACACGUGUUAUCCUGUCUGAAUAUGGGGGGACCAUCCUCCAAGGCUAAAUACUCCUGAUUGACCGAUAGUGAACCAGUACCGUGAGGGAAAGGCGAAAAGAACCCCGGCGAGGGGAGUGAAAUAGAACCUGAAACCGUGUACGUACAAGCAGUGGGAGCCCCACCACCAAAGCAUUUU